CCUACGGGAGGCAGCAGUGGGGAAUAUUGCGCAAUGGGCGAAAGCCUGACGCAGCGACGCCGCGUGAGGGAUGAAGGUCUUCGGAUCGUAAACCUCUGUCAGCAGGGAAGAACGGUCACUGUGCUAAUCAGCAGUGAAUUGACGGUACCUGCAAAGGAAGAACCGGCUAAAUCCGUGCCAGCAGCCGCGGUAAUACGGAGGGUGCGAGCGUUAAUCGGAAUUACUGGGCGUGAAGCGCACGUAGGCGGUAUGUCAAGUCAAGGGUGAAAUCCCCGCGCUCAACGUGGGAACUGCCUUUGAAACUGGCAGACUGGAGUGUGUGAGAGGAUAGUGGAAUGCCAGGUGUAGGGGUGAAAUCCGUAGAUAUCUGGAGGAACAUCAGUGGCGAAGGCGACUAUCUGGCACAUAACUGACGCUGAGGAGCGAAAGCGUGGGUAGCAAACAGGAUUAGACACCCCAGUAGUC
This 465-nucleotide ribosomal RNA is filed under the name uncultured bacterium. RNAcentral's name for it is "partial 16S ribosomal RNA". It matches the Rfam family "Bacterial small subunit ribosomal RNA", at positions 338 to 795 of the family's 1533-position model. The record is from RNAcentral.